AGUGAACGCUGGCGGCGUGCCUAAUACAUGCAAGUCGAACGGAGAUUAAGUAGCUUGCUAUUUAAUCUUAGUGGCGCACGGGUGAGUAAUAUAUAGCUAACUUGCCCAUUACUAAGGGACAACAGUUGGAAACGACUGCUAAUACCUUAUACUCCGUAUCUAUACAAGUAGGUACGGGAAAGUUUUUCGGUAAUGGAUAGGGCUAUAUCGUAUCAGCUAGUUGGUAAGGUAACGGCUUACCAAGGCUAUGACGCGUAACUGGUCUGAGAGGAUGAUCAGUCACACUGGAACUGAGACACGGUCCAGACUCCUACGGGAGGCAGCAGUAGGGAAUAUUGCUCAAUGGGGGAAACCCUGAAGCAGCAACGCCGCGUGGAGGAUGACACUUUUCGGAGCGUAAACUCCUUUUCUUUUCCAAGAAUUAA
Molecule: ribosomal RNA, 425 nt
Filed under: Campylobacter showae
Lineage: Bacteria; Pseudomonadati; Campylobacterota; Epsilonproteobacteria; Campylobacterales; Campylobacteraceae
Description: bacterial SSU rRNA
Rfam family: Bacterial small subunit ribosomal RNA
Source: RNAcentral